AUGUCACAGUGAAUAGGUAAACACAGAGGUGGAGGAGCCCAACCGUCUGAUCCUUUACGCUCGGUUAUCUGGAAGUCAUCGUUACCCAUCGGGCGGCGCACAAUCGACCCCGCGUCGUCCGGGUUAGGGUUUGGCUGGGGUAGGCAGUCAUAGAAAACAAGUUGUUCUUAACUAACUUGUCUAUUUAAAUAAAAGGUUAAAUAAAUACUCUUAAGAGGGAACAAAACACAGCUGGCGUAAAUGAGAAAACAUUAACAGCCCGAGGCAAAGGCCUUCAACUGUCAGCGAGGUAGUAUAGCAGGCAGACUAAUGGCCUCCAUCAUGCUCACUAGCAUUGCACGCUUUGGAUAAAAUGUCUGCUAAAUGGCAUAUUGUUACGUCCUAAAGAGAGAAAUGACCAUACGAGGGUAAAAACGACACACUUCCAAUCACAGUUCUACUCUAAAUCAACUCUUCAAUGAAUCAUUAGAAAAAGUCCCUCACUUAUCCAGGUUCUUUAAUCCUGCAUGGCCAUCCUUCACUUAUCCAGGUUCUUUAAUACUGCAUGGCCAUCCUUCACUUAUCCAGGUUCUUUAAUACUGCAUGGCCAUCCUUCACUUAUCCAGGUUCUUUAAUACUGCAUGUCCAUCCUUCACUUAUCCAGGUUCUUUAAUCCUGCAUGGCCAUCCUUCACUUAUCCAGGUUCUUUAAUCCUGCAUGGCCAUCCUUCACUUAUCCAGGUUCUUUAAUACUGCAUGGCCAUCCUUCACUUAUCCAGGUUCUUUAAUACUGCAUGGCCAUCCUUCACUUAUCCAGGUUCUUUAAUACUGCAUGGCCAUCCUUCACUUAUCCAGGUUCUUUAAUACUGCAUGGCCAUCCUUCACUUAUCCAGGUUCUUUAAUACUGCAUGGCCAUCCUUCACUUAUCCAGGUUCUUUAAUCCUGCAUGGCCAUCCUUCACUUAUCCAGGUUCUUUAAUACUGCAUGGCCAUCCUUCACUUAUCCAGGUUCUUUAAUCCUGCAUGGCCAUCCUUCACUUAUCCAGGUUGUUUAAUCCUGCAUGUCCAUCCUUCAUUUAUCCAGGUUCUUUAAUCCUGCAUGGCCAUCCUUCACUUAUCCAGGUUCUUUAAUACUGCAUGGCCAUCCUUCACUUAUCCAGGUUGUUUAAUCCUGCAUGGCCAUCCUUCACUUAUCCAGGUUCUUUAAUACUGCAUGGCCAUCCUUCACUUAUCCAGGUUCUUUAAUCCUGCAUGGCCAUCCUUCACUUAUCCAGGUUCUUUAAUACUGCAUGGCCAUCCUUCACUUAUCCAGGUUGUUUAAUCCUGCAUGGCCAUCCUUCACUUAUCCAGGUUCUUUAAUCCUGCAUGGCCAUCCUUCACUUAUCCAGGUUCUUUAAUACUGCAUGGCCAUCCUUCACUUAUCCAGGUUCUUUAAUACUGCAUGGCCAUCCUUCACUUAUCCAGGUUCUUUAAUACUGCAUGGCCAUCCUUCACUUAUCCAGGUUCUUUAAUACUGCAUGGCCAUCCUUCACUUAUCCAGGUUCUUUAAUACUGCAUGGCCAUCCUUCACUUAUCCAGGUUCUUUAAUACUGCAUGGCCAUCCUUCACUUAUCCAGGUUCUUUAAUACUGCAUGGCCAUCCUUCACUUAUCCAGGUUCUUUAAUACUGCAUGGCCAUCCUUCACUUAUCCAGGUUCUUUAAUACUGCAUGGCCAUCCUUCACUUACAUUUACAUUUAAGUCAUUUAGCAGACGCUCUUAGCAUGGUCAUCCUUCACUGGUCGCAGUUGCCCUGGUAACAUUUCAGCAAUGCUAAUGAUAAAACAUAUGGUCAAAUAUGAUAAAUAAAAUAUGAUAAAACCUGGCAUAUAAGUGUAUAGCACCUGAAAUAGAAGCAUUUCUUUAGCAUUUCACCUGACAUGUAUACUUUGCCAGAGGACCU
Molecule: long non-coding RNA, 1917 nt
Organism: Oncorhynchus keta (chum salmon)
Lineage: Eukaryota; Metazoa; Chordata; Actinopteri; Salmoniformes; Salmonidae
Exons: 3
Source: RefSeq, a predicted model, not a curated record